This 253-nucleotide ribosomal RNA is filed under the name uncultured bacterium. Its description in RNAcentral is "partial 16S ribosomal RNA". It matches the Rfam family "Bacterial small subunit ribosomal RNA", at positions 524 to 776 of the family's 1533-position model. The record is from RNAcentral.
UACAGAGGUCCCAAGCGUUGUUCGGAUUCACUGGGCGUAAAGGGUGCGUAGGAGGUCAUGUAAGUCGGAUGUGAAAUCCCGUCGCUUAACGAUGGAACUGCAUUCGAUACUGCCGUGCUUGAGGACUGGAGAGGAGACUGGAAUUUACGGUGUAGCGGUGAAAUGCGUAGAUAUCGUAAGGAAGACCAGUGGCGAAGGCGGGUCUCUGGACAGUUCCUGACGCUGAGGCACGAAGGUCAGGGGAGCAAACGGG